This 61-nucleotide transfer RNA is filed under the name Trichuris trichiura (human whipworm). RNAcentral describes it as "tRNA-Glu". RNAcentral also lists the same sequence under 1 other name. Lineage: Eukaryota; Metazoa; Nematoda; Enoplea; Trichinellida; Trichuridae. The record is from RNAcentral.
GGUCAUAUGGUGAAUUUAUAAUCUAUCACAAUGAAAUUUCAAUUCAUAGGACAAAUGACUA